UGCCCAGGUGGUGAAAUUGGUAGACACGCUGGAUUUAGGAUCCAGUGCUUCGCGGCAUGUAGGUUCAAGUCCUAUCCUGGGCAU
Molecule: transfer RNA, 84 nt
Filed under: Chlamydia trachomatis
Lineage: Bacteria; Pseudomonadati; Chlamydiota; Chlamydiia; Chlamydiales; Chlamydiaceae
Also listed under: 33 other names
Description: tRNA-Leu(tag)
Rfam family: tRNA
About the family: Transfer RNA (tRNA) molecules are approximately 80 nucleotides in length. Their secondary structure includes four short double-helical elements and three loops (D, anti-codon, and T loops). Further hydrogen bonds mediate the characteristic L-shaped molecular structure. tRNAs have two regions of fundamental functional importance: the anti-codon, which is responsible for specific mRNA codon recognition, and the 3' end, to which the tRNAs corresponding amino acid is attached (by aminoacyl-tRNA synthetases). tRNAs cope with the degeneracy of the genetic code in two manners: having more than one tRNA (with a specific anti-codon) for a particular amino acid; and 'wobble' base-pairing, i.e. permitting non-standard base-pairing at the 3rd anti-codon position.
Source: RNAcentral